Gossypium arboreum is the source of this 495-nucleotide long non-coding RNA. RefSeq lists it as uncharacterized. Lineage: Eukaryota; Viridiplantae; Streptophyta; Magnoliopsida; Malvales; Malvaceae. The transcript is spliced from 2 exons. The record is from RefSeq and is a predicted model, not a curated record.
AACACUCCCUCUUUUCCCCAUUUGUGCGAGCCCUAAGUAGACCAAACCCUAGCCGCCAUGUAGCCACCGCAAACGGUGGUCGACGGAGGGUGGUUUUCUCGUUCUUUAACCCCAUUUAGAUCCAUAUUCAAGGAUCUGACACUUCCCAUCAUGAAGAAUCAAAAAGAAAGUUCCCACCUUUGUUGGAUUCGGUUUUAACGGAGAAGAACUCCGACGAUACACCAACGAUUCAAGGCUCGGGUGUGGUAGAGGAGUUGGCGAGCCUUGAGCGGUGUGCACACUGGAGCUGGAGUACGGCGCACAUGGAGGAGCGGCGCACAUGGAGGAGCGGCUCAUAAGGACCUAGGGUUUUCUAGUUUACUGAAAACUUAGUUUAGGUUUUAGGCCAACGGGCCUAUUUUGUAUUUGGGUUAGGGUUUAUUGAUAAAUUUGGUAAUUUGGGUUUUGUUUAUUUUGGUUUAUUAACAUAUUUACCUAAUUAACCUUAGUAUAAAA